UACAUCCAAGGAAGGCAGCAGGCGCGCAAAUUACCCAAUCCCGAUUCGGGGAGGUAGUGACAAUAAAUACUGAUACAGGGCUCUUUUGGGUCUUGUAAUUGGAAUGAGUACAAUUUAAAUCCCUUAACGAGGAACAAUUGGAGGGCAAGUCUGGUGCCAGCAGCCGCGGUAAUUCCAGCUCCAAUAGCGUAUAUUAAAGUUGUUGUGGUUAAAAAGCUCGUAGUUGAACCUUGGGCCUGGCUGGCCGGUCCGCCUCACCGCGUGUACUGGUCCGGCCGGGCCUUUCCCUCUGUGGAACCCCAUGCCCUUCACUGGGUGUGGCGGGGAAACAGGACUUUUACUUUGAAAAAAUUAGAGUGCUCCAGGCAGGCCUAUGCUCGAAUACAUUAGCAU
RNAcentral lists this ribosomal RNA (393 nucleotides) under Papiliomyces longiclavatus. RNAcentral describes it as "SSU rRNA". It matches the Rfam family "Eukaryotic small subunit ribosomal RNA", at positions 411 to 810 of the family's 1831-position model. The record is from RNAcentral. Lineage: Eukaryota; Fungi; Ascomycota; Sordariomycetes; Hypocreales; Clavicipitaceae.